This is a long non-coding RNA of Egretta garzetta (little egret), 3054 nucleotides long. RefSeq lists it as uncharacterized. The transcript has 4 exons. The record is from RefSeq and is a predicted model, not a curated record. NCBI's taxonomy places the organism in Eukaryota, Metazoa, Chordata, Aves, Pelecaniformes, Ardeidae.
GCAGUAGCAUGUGUGGUUCCGGAGUCUGGUUUCAAUUCACCAUGCAGGUCUGGGGUGUCUGUGCUCUGCUCCCUUGGGACUGCGAUACUGGCAACUUCCUUGGUGCGUGAGAACGUCAGUUCCCAAAGCGAGGCGAUGGGUUGGGCUGAAAUUCCAGCUCUGGGAUGUUGGGGAUUUAUUAUCUUGGCUCUCUUGCAAGCAUUUUAAGAAAGGAAAUUGCUGAAAUCCAGAGGAAAUAAUUUUUUCACAAUUUCUGUGCAUUCAACUGCAAUCCAGAGCAGUGGAAUUUCUUAACCAACAGGGCAAAGAAAGGUGUUUGGCCCACCUCAGAAAUGGCUGUGGCUUAGGUGUUGAAUCGAAAGAGACCAGGUAUGAGGGAGACCUUAGAGGUUUCUCCCCAAGACAAGAGGAGGAUUCCAGCAGCGAGAACAGUGAGAGGAGGAAGGGGAAGAACAUCCUGCACAAGAUCUGAGUCCUUCGCUGAGUUAAAGUGGCCAGGUCUGGGAAUGUGCAUCGCCUCUGUGACUGGUCUGUCUUCUGGCAGAGAUGUGAACACAAAACUUGGGUUGUCCUGAACUUCACCCCAUGGUCCCCACGCAUCUGGCUGCAGAGCAUGGGUCCCAGCAGGCCAACUGGAGCCUGCUCUGGUGGGACGGAUGAACCAGUCCCUGCUGCCAGCUCCUUCACCGCUCCUUAGGCAAUGCCAGGGACCAGCUUUCACCUUCUGAGGCUGAGCAGGCCUUGGCACAGCCCUGCAUAAGGGAAAUGGUACUUUGUGGUCAUCUCCCCUUUUUAAACUCAGCUAUAAGACUUGAGGCCAUCAUGUCUUUUACCUGUAAUGCUAGAAGCAAGCAUCAAUUCCCUCUUCUUCUUACCAUAGAAUCAUAGAAUGGCUUGGGUUGGAAGAGACCUUCAAAGACCAUCUUGUUCCAACCCCCCUGCCAUGGGCAUGGGCACCUUUCCCUAGAUCAGGUUGCUCCAAGCCUCAUCCAACCUCACCUUGGGCACUUCCAAGGAGGGGGCAUCCACAACUUCUCUGGGCAACCUCUUCCAGUGUCUCACCACCCUCGCAGUAAAGAAUUCUUUUAAUUUCAUGUCUCAGCCCACUGUGCUACCUCAAGAAAAGCUUGAUUUUUGGCCAAAGCAAGGAGCAGGGCAUCAGGCUUACAAGUGACCGGCCCUCCUCUCCUUCCCAAAAGCAUUCUGGAGUGGCAGCAGUGGGAUCCUGCAGGGAGGCUUUGUGCUGCCCCAAGUGCUGUCCCAGCAUGGCCCUUACCAGUAGCACUUCAGGGAAUGGGUCUGAAAAUAGAUCAAAGUGAGCCUGGUCAGAAAAGUUACUGACAAAUAGAAAAAUCGCAGCACUUCUUUUCUUGAACAUUUAAGGCUUCAAAAAACAGUCAUUUUCUUCAAUCUUGGUAAUUUCAGCAGCCACGGGACUGCAGUGAAGCAUCUGUGGUGUUUUCACAUAAUGUGUCCUUCAUUACCUCCUCUGCUGUACCCGUUCAUUGCUGGACGAUGAAAGGAGGAGUGCUGAUCCUGAGGGGUUCCCAGGGAAGGGGCAAACAGCCUUCCUCAUCCUUCCUCCUCACUACUGGAGUGCCCAGAGACCUACCAAGUUGUUCUUGCUAUGAUUCCGAAGGUUGACUACUGGGGCAGCGUGGGGUGGGAGUGGGCAGGUGUAUCUUCCCAGCCACCUGCUGUGGAGAAGUGCAAAACUGCCUGGUAGGUACUGGUUCCCAACAUGCCCCUUCAUCUGGUGUGAGCGGGAGGUUGAACUAGAGUGUGAGGUGACCACCACCCUGGUCGUCCUGUGCUGUUGGGGGUCCUGACCACCCCUCUGUGGUUCAGCAAGUCUGUUCCUGCUUCCCUGGAGCUCCCCAAGGCUGGGCUGACACCUCUGCCUUCAGUUUACUGCUCUUUUGGGGGGAAGGGCAUGUCCUUUCACUUGGCAGAUGCACGACCUUUCGCUGACCAGCACCAGCUCAUGGCCCUGGAGCAUCAGCUCAGAUGUGCUGUGAGAUGUGUCUGACCUUGACAAAAAUCUCCCUGCAGCUCACCAGGUGCGUUGCUCAGUGGGUUUUCCUGGAGGAAAACAAGAGGAGCAGUGUGGUAGCAGCACGCUCCUGGCCUGCAGAGCCACGCAGGAAAGAAGACGCUGGUGUGGUUCUUGAUGAUGCUGUUGCAGCACCUUGGUGAUAUCUACCCGAGUCCUGCUUGGCUGGAACAUGCUCAAAAACAUGAACAUGAGCACUUUACCUUAAAAAAUAAAAAUAAAAUGAAGCCCAGCCAUUUCAGGAUGGAGAACAACACAGAUUCUGCCUGUAGGUGUAUAUAAAGCAGUAAGAAGUCUGUCCUGGUGUGCAAAUGCCAUUAUUAAUACAGCUGUCUCUCUGGAGAGAUGUCUUGAUGGAGCAGCUUUUCAGGAGGACAGGCACUGGUGUUGGAAAGGGGAGCACUGGUGUUACUUUCUAGGGGAAUCAGAUUUUAAACCUGGCUAACACCAUCCUCUUGUAGCACAAGCAGGACCAUCAGUGACCAGAGGAGCACCCAGUAGCAUGCAGAGACCGUACUAAAGAUAACAAGGUCAGUCCAGCUUGAAGGAUAACUUCACAGAAAGCAACCAAGUGAUCUGCGUGAGUGGAUUCUGGCCUGCAGGACCUGCAAGGGGAGUUUGAUGAGAAGGCCAAAGCUGAUCAACUGGACACAGCGAAACCAGCUUCCCUUCCUUGCAAAACAAUCAUGUGAGUGGCAAAGCUGUCCCACCAGGGCUUAGGGACUGCUACGCUGAGAUGAGUUCACAUCGCUGCUUCUCCUGGUCAGCGUGGCCCGUGCUCAGGAAAGAGGCAGAGCAUCGGUGUUAGACCACAGCUGCCGCCUCUGCCCGCGUCAAUGGCAGCAGCCCAGGAGUGAGGAUGGGCGUCCUCCUCUCCUCACUCUCCAGGUUCUGCGAGCGUCAGUUAUGGCAAGGAAGGAAGGGAGAUAGUUCCUGUAACAGCCACGCAGCCUGAGUCAGACUAAACCCUCGCCAGUUCCUGUGCAGUUGUCAUAGAAGAA